GCCUAAGUAGCUCAGUCGGUUAAAGCAUCUGACUUUGGCUCAGGUCAUGAUCUCACAGUUCGUGGGUUCAAGCCCUGCACUGGGCU
This 86-nucleotide transfer RNA is filed under the name Felis catus (domestic cat). It matches the Rfam family "tRNA". From Rfam's summary of the family: Transfer RNA (tRNA) molecules are approximately 80 nucleotides in length. Their secondary structure includes four short double-helical elements and three loops (D, anti-codon, and T loops). The record is from Rfam by way of RNAcentral. RNAcentral also lists the same sequence under 3 other names. Lineage: Eukaryota; Metazoa; Chordata; Mammalia; Carnivora; Felidae.